AUGCGUUUUUUGUUGCUGCUUCUGCUGCCUUGCAUAUGCUUGGUUUGCUCCUUGCAUUCUCUUUGUUUUUCCUUGCUACAGAGCCCCGGAAACAGCACUAGCAAAUUCUCUCGUAUCCUCCCUGCUCGUACUAAAGCCCCCGCCGAUCCGAACCAACCGAAUUCCCCUCCCCCGCCCGCACAUCUGCCCCCGCUCCGCACCCCGAAAUCCCCCGCCCCUCCCCNNNNNNNNNNNNNNNNNNNNNNNNNNNNNNNNNNCUGGCCGACGCCAUGGCCUCGACGGGAUCCCCACCGCCGCCCUGCUCUCGGGGAGACCCCCGCCGCCGCCCUGCCGUCCAGCGGACCCCCACCGCCGCCAUGCCCGCGACGAGGUCCCCACCGCCGCCCUGCCCUACGGGCGUUCUCUACCGCCGCGCUUCUCUGCAGGCGAUCCCCACCGCCGCCAUGCCUGCGAGGAGGCCCCCAUCGACGCCCUGCCCUACGGGAGAUCCCUACCGCCGCGCUCUUCUGCGGGCGAGCCCCACCACCGCCCUGCUCUCCCGGAGUUCCCCGCCGCCGCCCAGGGAGAUCCCGGCGGCAGCCCUCCCCUCCGGCAAGACGCGGUUCUCGCCCGGUGAGUUCCAUUUCCUCGUCCCUACCUUUCCCCUCGCAAUCCGGUCGUCGAUUUGGAUGCGAGGUAGUCCGAGAUCCGUUCCUCGAUCCGUUCGCAGGCAGCGUGAUAUCCGUUCCGCUCGUGCGAGAUACUCUAGUUAUCCGUUCCUUAGUUCGAUUCCCGGUUCGUGUUCCAUUAGGGCUUAGCGAUUGGAUCUUGUGUUGUCGGUUCAGUCUUCUGUAUUGGAUCUCGGUUACUCAUUCAUCGGCAGUAGUUCAUGAGUUUGAAGGAUCUGUUAUUAUACUAGUUUUAAUCAUAUUACUGAUUGUGCUAGAUAUACAGUUUUACUAG
RNAcentral lists this ribosomal RNA (942 nucleotides) under Triticum aestivum (bread wheat). RNAcentral describes it as "partial small subunit ribosomal RNA". Lineage: Eukaryota; Viridiplantae; Streptophyta; Magnoliopsida; Poales; Poaceae. The record is from RNAcentral.